CCUACGGGGGGCUGCAGUGGGGAAUAUUGGACAAUGGGCGCAAGCCUGAUCCAGCCAUGCCGCGUGUGUGAAGAAGGCCUUCGGGUUGUAAAGCACUUUCAGUAGGGAGGAAGCGUUGUGUGUUAAUAGUACACAGCGUUGACGUUACCUACAGAAGAAGCACCGGCUAACUCUGUGCCAGCAGCCGCGGUAAUACAGAGGGUGCAAGCGUUAAUCGGAAUUACUGGGCGUAAAGCGCACGUAGGCGGUUUUUUAAGUCAGAUGUGAAAGCCCCG
Molecule: ribosomal RNA, 275 nt
Filed under: uncultured Rheinheimera sp.
Lineage: Bacteria; Pseudomonadati; Pseudomonadota; Gammaproteobacteria; Chromatiales; Chromatiaceae
Description: partial 16S ribosomal RNA
Rfam family: Bacterial small subunit ribosomal RNA
Source: RNAcentral